This 451-nucleotide ribosomal RNA is filed under the name uncultured bacterium. Its description in RNAcentral is "bacterial SSU rRNA". It matches the Rfam family "Bacterial small subunit ribosomal RNA", at positions 28 to 458 of the family's 1533-position model. The record is from RNAcentral.
GAUGAACGCUGGCGGCGUGCUUAACACAUGCAAGUCGAACGGACUCAUAUUGAAACCUAGUGAUGUAUGAGUUAGUGGCGGACGGGUGAGUAACGCGUGGAGAACCUGCCGUAUACUGGGGGAUAACACUUAGAAAUAGGUGCUAAUACCGCAUAAGCGCACAGCUUCGCAUGAAGCGGUGUGGAAAACAAAAAGCUAAAGCUUUUGGUGGUAUACGAUGGAUCCGCGUCUGAUUAGCUUGUUGGCGGGGUAAAGGCCCACCAAGGCGACGAUCAGUAGCCGGCCUGAGAGGGUGAACGGCCACAUUGGGACUGAGACACGGCCCAAACUCCUACGGGAGGCAGCAGUGGGGAAUAUUGCACAAUGGGGGAAACCCUGAUGCAGCGACGCCGCGUGAGUGAAGAAGUAUUUCGGUAUGUAAAGCUCUAUCAGCAGGGAAGAAAAUGACGGU